UUUUUUUUUUGUGAUUUUUUUUUUUUUUUUUGAGAAAAGAGGAGAUGGCAGAGAAUGAAGAAAAAGAUAAACAUGUUUGAAGGUUGAGAACACACGAUAUGAUAGGUGAAUCCUGAAGUACUUGCUACAGAAACAAGUUCCACCUUUUCCACAAUCUGUGCAGUACUAUGUAGAUAAAUGCAGCUCGUAAUUCAUAUAAGAGUAACUAUGAUUUUAUUUAGUCAUUUUCAGUGGAAACACAAGCAAAAGCAACAUCAAUUGAUGUAUUUCCCAAAGGUUACAUAUGGAAUGCAGAACUGCAAACCAAAAAGCAGCUGUAGCAAGCAACUCUUC
RNAcentral lists this unclassified non-coding RNA (333 nucleotides) under Hevea brasiliensis (rubber tree). The record is from RNAcentral. Lineage: Eukaryota; Viridiplantae; Streptophyta; Magnoliopsida; Malpighiales; Euphorbiaceae.